GUGCUCACUUCAGCAGCACAUACACUAAAAUUGCAAUGACAUAGAGAAGAUUAGCUUGGCCCCUGCACAAGGUUGACAUGUAAAUUCAUGAAGCAUUCCAUAUUUUU
Molecule: small nuclear RNA, 107 nt
Organism: Zalophus californianus (California sea lion)
Lineage: Eukaryota; Metazoa; Chordata; Mammalia; Carnivora; Otariidae
Source: Ensembl